GACGGACGCUGGCGGCGUGCUUAACACAUGCAAGUCGAACGGAAAGGCCCAGCUUGCUGGGUACUCGAGUGGCGAACGGGUGAGUAACACGUGGGUGAUCUGCCCUGCACUCUGGGAUAAGCCUGGGAAACUGGGUCUAAUACCGGAUAUGAUCAACUGUCGCAUGGUGGUUGGUGGCAAGCUUUUGCGGUGUGGGAUGGGCCCGCGGCCUAUCAGCUUGUUGGUGGGGUAAUGGCCUACCAAGGCGACGACGGGUAGCCGACCUGAGAGGGUGAUCGGCCACACUGGGACUGAGACACGGCCCAGACUCCUACGGGAGGCAGCAGUGGGGAAUAUUGCACAAUGGGCGCAAGCCUGAUGCAGCGACGCCGCGUGAGGGAUGACGGCCUUCGGGUUGUAAACCUCUUUCACCAGGGACGAAGCGUGAGUGACGGUACCUGGAGAAGAAGCACCGGCCAACUACGUGCCAGCCGCCGCAGUAA
This 482-nucleotide ribosomal RNA is filed under the name uncultured bacterium. RNAcentral describes it as "partial 16S ribosomal RNA". It matches the Rfam family "Bacterial small subunit ribosomal RNA", at positions 28 to 523 of the family's 1533-position model. The record is from RNAcentral.